GUACUCCUACGGGGGGCAGCAGUGGGGAAUAUUGCACAAUGGGGGAAACCCUGAUGCAGCAACGCCGCGUGAAGGAAGACGGUUUUCGGAUUGUAAACUUCUGUUCUUAGUGAAGAAAAAUGACGGUAGCUAAGGAGCAAGCCACGGCUAACUACGUGCCAGCAGCCGCGGUAAUACGUAGGUGGCAAGCGUUGUCCGGAAUUACUGGGUGUAAAGGGAGCGCAGGCGGGAAGCCAAGUCAGCUGUGAAAACUACGGGCUUAACUUGUAGACUGCAGUUGAUACUGUUAGACUUGAGUAUG
This 301-nucleotide ribosomal RNA is filed under the name uncultured bacterium. RNAcentral's name for it is "bacterial SSU rRNA". It matches the Rfam family "Bacterial small subunit ribosomal RNA", at positions 333 to 650 of the family's 1533-position model. The record is from RNAcentral.